Molecule: ribosomal RNA, 250 nt
Filed under: uncultured bacterium
Lineage: Bacteria
Description: partial 16S ribosomal RNA
Rfam family: Bacterial small subunit ribosomal RNA
Source: RNAcentral
GACAGAGGGUGCAAACGUUGUUCGGAAUUACUGGGCGUAAAGCGUGUGUAGGCGGCUACAUAAGUCGGAUGUGAAAGCCCCGGGCUCAACCCGGGAAGUGCACUCGAUACUGCGUAGCUUGAGUCUCGGAGAGGUUGGUGGAAUUCUCGGUGUAGAGGUGAAAUUCGUAGAUAUCGAGAGGAACACCGGUGGCGAAGGCGGCCAACUGGACGAAGACUGACGCUGAGACACGAAAGCGUGGGGAGCAAAC